CCUACGGGAGGCAGCAGUGGGGGAUAUUGCACAAUGGGGGGAACCCUGAUGCAGCGACGCCGCGUGAGCGAUGGAGUACUUCGGUAUGUAAAGCUCUGUCAGCAGGGAAGAAAAGGACGGUACCUGACCAAGAAUCCCCGGAUAAAUACGUGCCAGCAGCCGCGGUAAUACGUAUGGGGCGAGCGUUAUCCGGAUUUACUGGGUGUAAAGGGAGCGUAGGCGGGAGGGCAAGCCAGUUGUGAAAGUCCGGGGCUCAACCCUGGGACUGCAUUGGGAACUGCCCGGCUGGAGUGCCGUAGGGGCAGGCGGAAUUCCUAGUGUAGCGGUGAAAUGCGUAGAUAUUAGGAGGAACACCAGUGGCGAAGGCGGCCUGCUGGACGGCCACUGACGUUGAGGCUCGAAAGCGUGGGGAGCAAACAGGAUUAGAUACCCGUGUAGUC
RNAcentral lists this ribosomal RNA (440 nucleotides) under uncultured bacterium. RNAcentral's name for it is "partial 16S ribosomal RNA". It matches the Rfam family "Bacterial small subunit ribosomal RNA", at positions 338 to 795 of the family's 1533-position model. The record is from RNAcentral.